This 497-nucleotide ribosomal RNA is filed under the name uncultured bacterium. RNAcentral describes it as "partial 16S ribosomal RNA". It matches the Rfam family "Bacterial small subunit ribosomal RNA", at positions 28 to 507 of the family's 1533-position model. The record is from RNAcentral.
GAUGAACGCUGGCGGCGUGCCUAAUACAUGCAAGUCGAGCGAACAGACGAGGAGCUUGCUCCUCUGACGUUAGCGGCGGACGGGUGAGUAACACGUGGAUAACCUACCUAUAAGACUGGGAUAACUUCGGGAAACCGGAGCUAAUACCGGAUAAUAUAUUGAACCGCAUGGUUCAAUAGUGAAAGACGGUUUUGCUGUCACUUAUAGAUGGAUCCGCGCCGCAUUAGCUAGUUGGUAAGGUAACGGCUUACCGAGGCAACGAUGCGUAGCCGACCGGAGAGGGUGAUCGGCCACACUGGAACUGAGACACGGUCCAGACUCCUACGGGAGGCAGCAGUAGGGAAUCUUCCGCAAUGGGCGAAAGCUUGACGGAGCAACGCCGCGUGAGUGAUGAAGGUCUUCGGAUCGUAAAACUCUGUUAUUAGGGAAGAACAAAUGUGUAAGUAACCAUGCACGUCUUGACGGUACCUAAUCAGAAAGCCACGGCUAACUACGUG